RNAcentral lists this unclassified non-coding RNA (212 nucleotides) under air metagenome. RNAcentral describes it as "partial contains small subunit ribosomal RNA, internal transcribed spacer 1, and 5.8S ribosomal RNA". The stretch from base 1 to 46 matches the Rfam family "Eukaryotic small subunit ribosomal RNA", at positions 1786 to 1831 of the family's 1831-position model. The record is from RNAcentral.
AAGUCGUAACAAGGUUUCCGUAGGUGAACCUGCGGAAGGAUCAUUAAUGAAUUUGUCUUCGGACAUUCUCUCAUACACUUGUGAACUUACACUGUUGCUUGGUGGAGUGUGGUCUAGCGAUAGGCCUGCCACCGAGAUUUUUUCACUCAUCCUAUGUCUGAACAAUAAACAAAAACAAAACAAAACUUUCAACAAUGGAUCUCUUGGCUCUG